AUGGAGAUGGUGUGCUGGAAUGUUAGAGGGCUAAACAUCCCAGCUAAGAAGAAGACGCUUAGGGAGUUUGUGGAUACGGUGCGGGUCGCUAUCAUAUGUAUCUUGGAGACCAAACUAGAGAGGGUGGAUCGGUUCAAUAUAUUGCAAUGCCUAGGUCCAUCUUAUGAUGGUUUCGCGUAUCUACCUGCUUCGGAGAUGAGGGGUGGCAUUAUUGUGGGUUGGGAUUCU
RNAcentral lists this ribosomal RNA (228 nucleotides) under Triticum aestivum (bread wheat). Its description in RNAcentral is "partial small subunit ribosomal RNA". The record is from RNAcentral. Lineage: Eukaryota; Viridiplantae; Streptophyta; Magnoliopsida; Poales; Poaceae.